RNAcentral lists this transfer RNA (76 nucleotides) under Streptomyces sp. WMMC940. Its description in RNAcentral is "tRNA-OTHER". It matches the Rfam family "tRNA". Rfam says of the family: Transfer RNA (tRNA) molecules are approximately 80 nucleotides in length. Their secondary structure includes four short double-helical elements and three loops (D, anti-codon, and T loops). The record is from RNAcentral. Lineage: Bacteria; Bacillati; Actinomycetota; Actinomycetes; Kitasatosporales; Streptomycetaceae.
AAGGCCGUAGCGCAGAGGUCGUCGCGCCCAAACGUCAAGUAGGAGGACGCCGGUUCGAAUCCGGUCGGUCUUGCCA